This 423-nucleotide ribosomal RNA is filed under the name uncultured Gram-positive bacterium. Its description in RNAcentral is "bacterial SSU rRNA". It matches the Rfam family "Bacterial small subunit ribosomal RNA", at positions 57 to 486 of the family's 1533-position model. The record is from RNAcentral.
GCAAGUCGAGCGGUAAGGCACUUCGGUGUACACGAGCGGCGAACGGGUGAGUAACACGUGAGUAAUCUGCCCUCCACUCUGGGAUAAGCACUCGAAAGGGUGUCUAACACCGGAUACGACACAGACCUGCAUGGGUUCUGUGUGGAAACUUUUUUGGGUGGGGGAUGUGCUCGCGGCCUAUCAGCUUGUUGGUGAGGUAAUGGCUCACCAAGGCUUCGACGGGUAGCCGGCCUGAGAGGGUGAUCGGCCACACUGGGACUGAGACACGGCCCAGACUCCUACGGGAGGCAGCAGUGGGUAAUAUUGGACAAUGGACGCAAGCCUGAUCCAGCAACGCCGCGUGAGGCAUGUCUGCCUUCAGGCUGUAAACAUCUUUCAUCAUUCCGCAGCUCAUCGUUUAGGUGCUUUACGGUAGGUGUACAA